CAGCGAGAUAAACAGGUGUGCUGUACAAUCGCGCGCCACCGCCGUCCCGGGCGUGCUUAUGGUGCGCGCUGCUACGGCGGAGUCGUCCGCAGGUGGCAGCGAAGAGGAGGCGGGCGGCACCGACGCGUGGGGCACCAUUGCUAUGAAAAGAGCACUGAACUACGACUCAGGGUUGAAGCCAUUCAUGACACCGUGGCGCGAGGUGCGUCGCGCACUGCGCGAUGCGGGUUGCUUUUCGACGCUUGCACUGCCGCGCCUGACGCUGCCAACGGACCGGGCGAGCCCUCGCGUCGGCGAUGUUUCACCUGAGUCUUCCACAGCCCUUCCUCCGCUGUGCCGAAAGCCGCUCGUGCUGAUGAGCGGCCGAGGGCGAGACUGCGCGAGUUGCUCCAGCUUUGCCUCUGACGUGCUGGAGCACUACCGAGCCGAGUGGGAGUACGUACGCGCUCACGUGACCCUCGUCGACGCCGGAGACCCGAUGACAGAAGAACUGGUGCGGAACCCGUACCCGCUGUGGUACGACCCGGCGGAGGCGGGGCCGUGGAUGACGUUGACAAAGGUAUCCGAGGUGCGGAGGGCUGAGGGUGACGUCGUCGCCGCUGCGUCCGGCGCGAGCAGCACCUCCGGGGCCCCCUCUCACGACGUAGCCCAGACGUUACAGCAGUCGGAUGUCGAGGACUACACUCUCUUCAACAUGGGCGUCCGCCGCAAGGCCGCUUUCCUCCUGCAGUCCCCAACGGUGCAGGCCACGCAUCACUGGUCGCGCCUCGUAAAGCGCGCAUUCGCUGGCCAGUCCGAGUACGUGCUGCGCAUCGUCUUUGCCUACCCGCACAACGGCAGCGUCAUGCGCGACAUCGUGAACGAGGAGGUUACCGUCGGCGGAAGUCAAGCCGACUACCUGCACUUUUUCAAUAAAGCGCAGCCGUUCUUCCACUGUGUAAAGAAGGCGGUGCGGGUAAUGGAUUGGCUGCAGCGAUAUGGCGACUACUGAUGGCGCACCUGCCUGCGAUGACCGUUGCGUGUAUGUGUGUGGGAGCUCGGGUAGCAAUAUCAGCCGCCUUAUACAUCUCAUCCUCAUGGUUCUGACUUCUACACAACGCUCGGGCGCAUGUUGCACUUGAUACGCAGCUGCGUGUCCCUGGCGCAGGAAGUGCGUGGAUAUCUGUGACCAGGAUGCCGUUCUGCUGCAGCAUACUGCUGAUGGGCGCUGGGCUGUUUCCUCUUCUCCUCACGGCCCUCUCUUCGCGUGCUGCUGCUCGUGCUCUCUCUUUGUGUGUGUGUGUGUGUGUGGCACCUUCAGUGACGGCACGUUCCCCAAGAACGAAAAAAAGACGACAAGGGAGAGGCGACGCACUUUCCCGACAAUCGAUGCCCAAACGCCAACACCACGAGGGAGACGCGCCGACUGCUUGGCGCCACCGCUCUCCACUGCUGCCGGGGUGUAGGCGUAGGCGUCGAUACGGGGCGGGGCAGGGCAGGAGAGAAAAAGAGGGGGAGGAGUAGUGGGCUGCACUUUCUCCUCAUGUGAUCUCCUAUCAUCACUUCUCGGGUUUUUUUUGUGCGGUAUGUACAUGGCGACUGGUGUGCGUGCGCAUGUGUGCUGCACGGCCAGCGCGAACCGCUAUUCUGUCCCUACGCCGCCUGUGAACUCGUCCUGGCCAAGCCAGCAUUCAUCGCGUCCGAUCGUGCCCUCUUCGCUUCACUCAUACGCAUUCUCUGCUUCUCCACCACAUCCUCGUGCGCACUUAG
RNAcentral lists this unclassified non-coding RNA (1749 nucleotides) under Leishmania donovani. RNAcentral's name for it is "gene:LdHU3.14.1450(CDS-product:hypothetical_prote in_conserved)". The record is from RNAcentral. Lineage: Eukaryota; Euglenozoa; Kinetoplastea; Trypanosomatida; Trypanosomatidae.